This 72-nucleotide antisense RNA is filed under the name Lentzea waywayandensis. RNAcentral's name for it is "ASpks TB sRNA". It matches the Rfam family "ASpks TB sRNA". The record is from RNAcentral. Lineage: Bacteria; Bacillati; Actinomycetota; Actinomycetes; Pseudonocardiales; Pseudonocardiaceae.
CUUGACGCUGCCGAGCCACAACGGCUCGUCCGCGCGGUCCUGUCCGUAGGUGGCCAGCAGGGCCUGCGCCUC